UUAAGCAGUGAAGAAGACUCUUCGGUUAAUACCCGGGGACGAUGACAUUAGCUGCAGAAUAAGCACCGGCUAACUCUGUGCCAGCAGCCGCGGUAAUACAGAGGGUGCAAGCGUUAAUCGGAAUUACUGGGCGUAAAGCGAGCGUAGGUGGCUUGAUAAGUCAGAUGUGAAAUCCCCGGGCUUAACCUGGGAACUGCAUCUGAAACUGUUAGGCUAGAGUAGGUGAGAGGGAAGUAGAAUUUCAGGUGUAGCGGUGAAAUGCGUAGAGAUCUGAAGGAAUACCGAUGGCGAAGGCAGCUUCCUGGCAUCAUACUGACACUGAGGCUCGAAAGCGUGGGUAGCAAACAGGAUUAGAUACCCUGGUAGUCCACGCCGUAAACGAUGUCUACUAGUCGUUGGGUCCCUUGAGGACUUAGUGACGCAGCUAACGCAAUAAGUAGACCGCCUGGGGAGUACGGCCGCAAGGUUAAAACUCAAAUGAAUUGACGGGGGCCCGCACAAGCGGUGGAGCAUGUGGUUUAAUUCGAUGCAACGCGAAGAACCUUACCUGGUCUUGACAUACACAGAAUCUUGUAGAGAUACGAGAGUGCCUUCGGGAAUUGUGAUACAGGUGCUGCAUGGCUGUCGUCAGCUCGUGUCGUGAGAUGUUGGGUUAAGUCCCGCAACGAGCGCAACCCUUGUCCUUAGUUACCAGCGGGUUAAGCCGGGAACUCUAAGGAUACUGCCAGUGACAAACUGGAGGAAGGCGGGGACGACGUCAAGUCAUCAUGGCCCUUACGACCAGGGCUACACACGUGCUACAAUGGUAGGUACAGAGGGCAGCUACACAGCGAUGUGAUGC
This 841-nucleotide ribosomal RNA is filed under the name Psychrobacter sp. MCCC1A09932. Its description in RNAcentral is "bacterial SSU rRNA". It matches the Rfam family "Bacterial small subunit ribosomal RNA", at positions 434 to 1268 of the family's 1533-position model. Lineage: Bacteria; Pseudomonadati; Pseudomonadota; Gammaproteobacteria; Moraxellales; Moraxellaceae. The record is from RNAcentral.